This is a non-coding RNA of Picea glauca (white spruce), 121 nucleotides long. The record is from Rfam. NCBI's taxonomy places the organism in Eukaryota, Viridiplantae, Streptophyta, Pinopsida, Pinales, Pinaceae.
ACAUGCCUACAACAUAGUGUUAAUGCAUCGGAUCCCAUUAGAACUCCACAGUUAAGCGCACUCGGUCUAGAUUAGUACUGGGAUGGGUGACCACUCGGGAAGUGCUAGUAUUUUACAUGCC